Molecule: ribosomal RNA, 253 nt
Filed under: uncultured bacterium
Lineage: Bacteria
Description: partial 16S ribosomal RNA
Rfam family: Bacterial small subunit ribosomal RNA
Source: RNAcentral
UACGUAGGGUGCGAGCGUUGUCCGGAAUUAUUGGGCGUAAGGAGCUCGUAGGCGGCUUGUCGCGUCGGAUGUGAAAGCCCGGGGCUUAACUCCGGGUCUGCAUUCGAUACGGGCAGGCUAGAGUUCGGUAGGGGAGAUCGGAAUUCCUGGUGUAGCGGUGAAAUGCGCAGAUAUCAGGAGGAACACCGGUGGCGAAGGCGGAUCUCUGGGCCGAUACUGACGCUGAGGAGCGAAAGCGUGGGGAGCGAACAGG